ACGGAAGGCAGCAGUGGGGAAUAUUGCACAAUGGGCGAAAGCCUGAUGCAGCGACGCCGCGUGAGUGAAGAAGUAUCUCGGUAUGUAAAGCUCUAUCAGCAGGGAAGAAAAUGACGGUACCUGACUAAGAAGCCCCGGCUAACUACGUGCCAGCAGCCGCGGUAAUACGUAGGGGGCAAGCGUUAUCCGGAUUUACUGGGUGUAAAGGGAGCGUAGACGGUUUGGCAAGUCUGAAGUGAAAUGCGGGGGCUCAACUCCUGAACUGCUUUGGAAACUGUCGAACUAGAGUGCAGGAGAGGUAAGUGGAAUUCCUAGUGUAGCGGUGAAAUGCGUAGAUAUUAGGAGGAACACCAGUGGCGAAGGCGGCUUACUGGACUGUAACUGACGUUGAGGCUCGAGAGCGUGGGGAGCAAACAGGAUUAGAUACCCUGGUA
This 434-nucleotide ribosomal RNA is filed under the name uncultured Lachnospiraceae bacterium. RNAcentral describes it as "partial 16S ribosomal RNA". It matches the Rfam family "Bacterial small subunit ribosomal RNA", at positions 341 to 792 of the family's 1533-position model. The record is from RNAcentral. Lineage: Bacteria; Bacillati; Bacillota; Clostridia; Lachnospirales; Lachnospiraceae.